Molecule: ribosomal RNA, 600 nt
Filed under: uncultured bacterium
Lineage: Bacteria
Description: bacterial SSU rRNA
Rfam family: Bacterial small subunit ribosomal RNA
Source: RNAcentral
UGACGCUAAAGCUCGAAGGUGCGGGUAUCGAACAGGAUUAGAUACCCUGGUAGUCCGCACGGUAAACGAUGGAUGCCCGCUGUUUGCGAUAUACAGUAAGCGGCCAAGAGAAAUCGUUAAGCAUCCCACCUGGGGAGUACGCCGGCAACGGUGAAACUCAAAGGAAUUGACGGGGGCCCGCACAAGCGGAGGAACAUGUGGUUUAAUUCGAUGAUACGCGAGGAACCUUACCCGGGCUUGAACUGCAGCGGAAGGAAACAGAGAUGUUGACGCCCUUCGGGGCCGCUGUGGAGGUGCUGCAUGGUUGUCGUCAGCUCGUGCCGUGAGGUGUCGGCUUAAGUGCCAUAACGAGCGCAACCCUUUUCGCCAGUUGCCAUCAGGUGAUGCUGGGCACUCUGGGGACACUGCCACCGUAAGGUGUGAGGAAGGUGGGGAUGACGUCAAAUCAGCACGGCCCUUACGUCCGGGGCUACACACGUGUUACAAUGGGUGGUACAGAGAGCCGGCGGCCCGCAAGGUCCGUCCAAUCAAUAAAGCCAUCCUCAGUUCGGAUUGGGGUCUGCAACCCGACCCCAUGAAGCUGGAUUCGCUAGUAAUCGC